CAAUAGCGUAUAUUAAAGUUGUUGCAGUUAAAAAGCUCGUAGUUGGAUUUCUGAUCGAGACAUCAGGUCGGGUCCGAGAGGAUCAUGCACUUUGAUUUUGUUUUGAUCAUCCUUGGGGAGAGCAUUUCUGGCAUUCAGUUGUCGGGAUUGGGAUCCUCAUCGUUUACUGUGAAAAAAUUAGAGUGUUCAAAGCAGGCCUCGGCCUCUGAAUACAUUAGCAUGGAAUAAUAAGAUAGGACUUUGGUGGUCUAUUUUGUUGGUUUGCACGCCAAAGUAAUGAUUAAUAGGGAUAGUUGGGGGUAUUCGUAUUCAAUUGUCAGAGGUGAAAUUCUUGGAUUUAUGGAAGACGAACUACUGCGAAAGCAUUUACCAAGGAUGUUUUCAUUAA
RNAcentral lists this ribosomal RNA (388 nucleotides) under uncultured eukaryote. Its description in RNAcentral is "partial 18S ribosomal RNA". It matches the Rfam family "Eukaryotic small subunit ribosomal RNA", at positions 592 to 976 of the family's 1831-position model. The record is from RNAcentral.